Molecule: transfer RNA, 75 nt
Filed under: Betaproteobacteria bacterium
Lineage: Bacteria; Pseudomonadati; Pseudomonadota; Betaproteobacteria
Description: tRNA-Ala
Rfam family: tRNA
About the family: Transfer RNA (tRNA) molecules are approximately 80 nucleotides in length. Their secondary structure includes four short double-helical elements and three loops (D, anti-codon, and T loops). Further hydrogen bonds mediate the characteristic L-shaped molecular structure. tRNAs have two regions of fundamental functional importance: the anti-codon, which is responsible for specific mRNA codon recognition, and the 3' end, to which the tRNAs corresponding amino acid is attached (by aminoacyl-tRNA synthetases). tRNAs cope with the degeneracy of the genetic code in two manners: having more than one tRNA (with a specific anti-codon) for a particular amino acid; and 'wobble' base-pairing, i.e. permitting non-standard base-pairing at the 3rd anti-codon position.
Source: RNAcentral
GGGGCUGUAGCUCAGUUAGAGAGCGCCUGCUUUGCAAGCAGGAGGCCGUCGGUUCGAUCCCGUCCAGCUCCACCA